Non-coding RNA from Xyrichtys novacula (pearly razorfish), 4726 nucleotides. The record is from the annotation of a GenBank genome assembly. Lineage: Eukaryota; Metazoa; Chordata; Actinopteri; Labriformes; Labridae.
AUCAGCAGUACAAAAUUAUGAACAGAACAACAGCUAUGAGAAAUGAAUAACUUUUCAUACUAUAUCCAGAAGCCCAAACUUCUGGGGCUCCCCCAUGGUGGCCUAAUGCAGUACAUGUCAAAAAGGCCUUUUCCAAUGUGACAGAGCAGGAGUCAAAGUUUUAUUUAGUUACUUGAUGCUAAAAAGAGGGAAUGACAACUCUGAGUUUCUGCUUCAACUCAACUCAAGAAUCUGCUUUCGUACCUGGACUUUGAUGUUAAAUUGGUAAAUUACAUGUAUGCUGCAGAAGGGGUGCAACCUCAACCACAUACCUUCUGAGCGUGCCUCCAUUCCAUCAUUGCAAUAUGUAAGCGCCCACUGAAGCCAUAUACUGGCCCCACUUCUCACAGUAAGGUGAGGUGUGCAGUUCAAAUUCAGUUAAGUCAAUGGGCUCUUCUUUCGUGUCCGCCAGUGAGGCGGCGGAGGGUGGCAGACCCCACGCAGUGGUAUUUUGGUAGACCGGCGGCGUAUCGGCAUACGUCACUGAUGCCUCACUGGCAGGUUUCCACAGUGUCAGGCUCAUUUCAGUGCAAUAAAUAAUCAACAACAACUAAUAAUCUGAGUCAGCACAUACAUUUAAAUCUAUAUAGAUAUAUUCUGAUCUAUAUCUGAUUUGAUGAGCGCGUUUGGCAUGCGUUUGGACACACAACCUGACCGAAUCAACACAGCUGAAACCACAUUAAAUUAAAUUAAAUAUCUAGUUAAUAGACAAACAUGAUGAAGUGAACAAGAUAUGGAAUUCGUCUCCCUCCUUUUCUUUCUUCCUCUUCCUCUUAUUUCUCGCGCAGCUCGACCUGGACAUGUCUCCCUGUCCUCUCCCCGUCCUACUGCAGCUGCUGCUGCGGCGGCUGAACAGAUGAUUUGUUUUAGUGAUCAGAUAAGUUAUUUACUUUAAGCCCACAUAUGAAUAUUAUAAUAUUCAGAUGGUUCCGAUUUUAAUGCCAUUAUUGGAAUUUAUGAUGUGAUCUCUGCGCAAAACCCACCUUUGUCACGUGAGGUUUGAAUAUGUGCAACUUUAUGUGAGUGUCUUUAUAUGUGGAAAGGGAUGUUUGUCUUACUAGUGGGUCCAACAUUACACACACCAAAUCCAUCUGUGCUCAUAUGAGAGAGUGUGAAGGACGCCCUCUCCAGCGUUUACAGCGACACUUGUUGAGGGGCUGCCUUUUGUCGCCAUCGUGUGGCAUUGCUGUCUUCAGACAUCUCUUGAUCUCUUUGACUACUUCAUGAAAAUUGUAAUACGUCUCGCCGGUGGCUGAUGUUAUUGGUCAAUACAGGUCUUGGCUGUGUUAAACCCAGUUCACGCCCUCUCUCCUCCCUCGCUACGACUUACGCCGCUGGGAGGAACUGAGUAAGGGAGGGGGGAUACUUAUGCCGGGCUGCACCGCUCACCAAAAUACCAAAUUGUGCCUGGGAAUGCCUUGUCCGCGCAGCGGACCUGACGUAUGCCACGACUGCGCCACGUCUCCGGAGAAGCACGGAAAUAGAGCCCAAAGCCUUGUACUCCUCAGCCAUGUGAAAAACAGUUUUUAGGAGCUAUCUGCUGCAACCAAUCAAAAGCUAUUGGUUGUAAAUUGACUUUGGCCACACAAGUUGCAGAAUACGAAAGAACUGAAAGGACCUCUUAGUCUAGAUGGCAGUCAAUUACUUUAUAAUGUGGCACUGGUGUGGUGCUGGUUUUUUACGAAAAGUUAAGGGUGAGGAUAAAGUAUCCUGCUAUGCUGACCUUGUUGAUGCCUCUGGUCUAGUACUAAUCAUACUUAAGUUUCCAUGGUAAAGUUAAAAUCUUAUAGCCCCUUUUAGUGUCAGAAAUUAAAUGGCAUUCUUGCUAGUCAGGGCUUAGUUGUAGGCAAAAACAUCUUUUAAACACAUUAACUAGUGUCAGUUACUGUAACUCACAGGUCAGACAAACUGAGGCUAGCUAGCAAAUUAAGCUAAUGUUAGCUUAAUAACACCAUAGGAUCGAUUUAACUUUCACAACAAAACAAAGGUUUUCAAAAAAGGUUAGCAAAGAUGCUCCUUGGCCUUUACAGUUAUGCUUGAGACUAGCAUAAGGACAAAGACAGCAAGCUAAACAUGUUAAAGGUUGCAUCUUUGGUUGUAGCAGAUUAACAGCUUUUAAAUCCUUCUUUUUUACCUUUCAGGUCCAAAACAUGACUUUUCAUGCCUCACAUUCAAAAUGAAGGUAAUUUUGAGCUAGAUGUGGUUGCAAGCUAUGAUUGGACAAUAAUUGCUGGGGGCAGAGUUUAAAGAACAGUCAAUUAGCUUUGUUAUCAACAGCUCCACUGACUCUGUGGUAGACUCACACUUAUGCGGGGGGGGGGGGGGUCUGAGCUGUGGUGAAUGACAGAAUGCCACUGCAACACUGGAGAGAGAGAGAGAGAGAUGAAAAGGAGAAAGUGACAAAAGCAGAAAGAAUCUCCUAUUUAUUUCAUUCAGUGGAUCUUUGAAAAUGCUAAGGAGGGGAGCAUGACGGAGGAGCUUAUUGGAUUUAUUUCUCUCUCUCUCUCUCUCUCUCUCUCUCUCUCUCUCUCUCUCUCUCUAUCUCAGCCUAAGACACAUUUUCAUUAGGCAAACAUAUUAGACACACUUUCACACCAUCAGAGAUGUGCUCUCACAAUUAAGAUACAUUUCUUGCUGCGUGUGUGCACUUGUGUGUUUAUCAUACACGCACUUACAGUUUAUCCACUUACAGUUUCCUCUCUCUCUUUAUCAGUCUGUCAGUCUUGGUCUAAUACAACCACACAUUUACACCCUUGCACAUCGUUUUCUCGUGCAUGGACAUUAGAAUUGCUUUGACUGACCAAAUGUCACUGUCACUUCACAAUGUCAUUGAAAGACCCUAUUGUUUUACUUUAAGCAUUAUUUCAGAAACUUACACUUCAGCCAACAUCUCUAUUAAAUAUUUUGGAAUCUACAACUCUUAUAUCUAGGUGUUUGCAUUUAGGUGUUAGUCUGGACGUUGAAUAGCAUGAAAAACAAUCAAAACUAAAACUACCCUCAAAGGUGGGGUAGGCAGGAUCUGAGUUAGUACCAGUUUUUGGGAGAAAUCUUGAAUGUAAACACUACCCCUCCCCACCAGUUUUCCCCUCAGCUCCUCCUCUCCCCUCCGUCUCUGCUCCAGCAAGAAGACUUCAACCAUGUCCAAUUCUGAGGUAAGAAGAAUUUCACUGAUACUAAGGUCAACUUUUUAUCUUUACAUACAACUCACGGUUACAUGCUGUGUUGUUAUAAAUUUUAAUUUGCCUAACUGUGCUCAGCUAGCUCACCGUUACCAGCUGAGCUAGUGAGCGUUAGUUUUUUCUAUUGACAUUAGAGUUAGCCACAGCAGCUAGCUUUCCUGCAUACAGGCUUACAAAAGUAGACUGUGGCAAAUUAAAAACAAAACAACUCUCUCUGGCGCUUUUUCCAGCCCUGACUAUGAGAUUGAAUACACCCCAGGCCCAGCAAGGUGAAGUAGAGAAGGCCCCAGAGGCAGGCCACCACAAGCCGGACAGCUUGGCUAGGGGCCAUGGCAGAGACCGGGGAAUAGGUCAACGAAGAGGCCAGAGGCCAUGUGAUAGUUUUGCAGACAUAAUAUGAAGUAAACCAUUUCUAAAUAUAAGAUUGUCGUGAGUUUUCAGAUUUUUGCAUUCUCAGACCUGGGUUAGAAGACUGAACCUGGAGGAGCUCAAACACAUGGAUGAACAGGCUGGCUAGAUGGGUCUGGAGCAAAAUUAAAGCCACUGUAGACAGCCCUGACCCUGGAGAAGGCAACAAGUAGUCCUGGUUUGCCCCAUAAUAAUGGUUUGUGAUCUGCCAAUAUGGAACAUAGGAGCUAAGAGUAAAGAUUCCUAGUUCUUGUGUCUAGAGAAUAUUGAAGUGCUUUUUUAAACUGCUAUUUAUCUAUAUGUAAAUGCUGUUUUAUACAUGAGUUUUUUCAUUAUACUGUUGUUAUUGAGUGGGAUUGCGAAGCACUCCCACUAUUUGUUUUUCAUAUCUUUAUUAUUAUUGAGUGGGAUUGCGAAGCAUUCAAACUAUAUGUUAUUCAUAUUUUUAUUAUUAUUAUUAUUGGGUGGGAUUGCAAAGCAUUCCCACUAUUUGUUUUUCACAUCUUUAUUAUUAUUUAGUGGGAUUGCGAAGCAUUCCCACUAUAUGUUAUUCAUAUCUUUAUUAAGUGAAAAUGCUGAUUAAGCAUUUCCACUUAUUGUUAUUCCUAUCGGCCAUUUUCUUUCUUAAUUAUUAAGUGGAAAUGCUGAUUAAGCAUUUCCACUUAUUGUUAUUCUCCUGUUUCUUUAUUAAUGUGGUGAGAUGCCUCCUCCUCUUGUUUUAUUUUAGUUGGACUUCAUGUUUUUCUUUGUUUGCCUGGUCUGGCUUGACUCUCUUCCAGAGCACCCACCCCCUCCCCGGUCGCUGAGGCUGAGUUAGACUCCACACCUGCACUGAAUCUGCAAUCAAGGCCUGUAAGAAGCCAGCAGCCCUCAGUCUCAGUGCCUGAGUAUUGUCUUCACUCCCAAGUGGUACAGACGCUUCUCCCGGCCUUCUCCUCGGCUAAGUGCUAAGUAAUUUUGCUCCCUGAGAUUCCUUGUAUGUCUUCUCACCUCCUUCUCCUCUGCUUCUCAACAGUGUCUCCAGCCAGCCAGCCAACCGGACUUUCUCUCAUGCCUUUUUUUUCUGUGUUUUUGGACAUUAAAUUACACCUUUAAUUUGA